UACAGGGGGUGCAAACGUUGCUCGGAUUUAUUGGGCGUAAAGCGCGCGUAGGCGGCUACUUAAGUCGGAUGUGAAAGCCCCUGGCUUAACUGGGGAAGUGCACCCGAAACUGAGUAGCUAGAGUACGAAAGAGGGUCGCGGAAUUCCCGGUGUAGAGGUGAAAUUCGUAGAUAUCGGGAGGAACACCGGCGGCGAAGGCGGCGACCUGGGUCGAUACUGACGCUGAGGCGCGAAAGCGUGGGGAGCAAACAGG
RNAcentral lists this ribosomal RNA (253 nucleotides) under uncultured bacterium. RNAcentral's name for it is "partial 16S ribosomal RNA". It matches the Rfam family "Bacterial small subunit ribosomal RNA", at positions 524 to 776 of the family's 1533-position model. The record is from RNAcentral.